Salvia miltiorrhiza (redroot sage) is the source of this 1715-nucleotide RNA transcript. It is a transcript of the gene named SNF1-related protein kinase catalytic subunit alpha KIN10-like, with no coding region annotated. The transcript is spliced from 6 exons. The record is from RefSeq and is a predicted model, not a curated record. Lineage: Eukaryota; Viridiplantae; Streptophyta; Magnoliopsida; Lamiales; Lamiaceae.
ACAUUGAGGGCCACUGCAUCAGAAAAUUAGAGAAGUGUUUCUAAAAGUGCUGAUUUUGGUUUGAAAACAACCAACAUCAAACAUGGUGGUUCAAUGUUUAUCAUCUUGAAAUACUGCAACGUAGAACUUCGGCUGAUGCAGCCCUCCAUGUGUGGCGGAUUCGUCGAUUGUAAGGGUGCCAUGUUCGUGUAUUUCUCUGGUGCAGUGGCAGCUAUGGUUCAAGGAUUAUAUUAUCUCUUUUAUUUUAGUGCUCUUUUUAGUGGUGUUUCACUCUUCACACAUAACUGUUGGACUAAUGUUUUAAUGAUUUUAGAACAUAAAGUUGAAAGAAUAGUGUUUUACAUAUGUAUUCUGCUCCUUGAAGUGUCCAUAUAUACCUCUAAUGAUUGAUUCUUAUGUGCUUAUAAUUUGUAAUUUUUGCUAUCAAGGAGAUGGAUUCUGGACACAUGAAUUUACUUAAUGGUUUAUUGUGACGUCUCUUUCUAUUGCCAAUUUUGCUUGAUUUCUUUGCCCAUAGUAAUGUUAUUAAGGAUAGUUACUUGCUGCUAUCAAUCUUAACAUAGUUGUUGCUUUCUUGAGACGUGGUUUAUGAAUUAAGGUCGUAUGCAUGGCUUUAUCUAUACACACUGCUUCAAAUAUCUGAACUUGUGUCAUUUUAGGAUUAUGGAUGGAUUAAACCAAGAUGGCAACAAUGUGGAUUCUUUCUUACGGAACUACAAACUUGGGAAGACUCUUGGGAUUGGUUCAUUUGGCAAAGUUAAAAUUGCUGAACAUGCAUUGACAGGGCACAAAGUUGCUGUCAAGAUUCUAAAUCGUAAGAAGAUAAAGAAUAUGGAUAUGGAAGAAAAUGAUGGCGAUUUACAUAUCUUUACAAGAGUGGAGCAUAGGGGAUUGAAGUGGAAGACCAUUGAUAAAGAUAUCAAUUGUCACUAUAGCCCAAUUCAAACAUUGUUGGUGUUUGUAGGCGAUCGAACCGAGGGCAUUGCAUGCUUACUCCGCACCCCUCAAGGAAAAAAAGAUUGCCCAUAGCUACAGGAGCUAAUAGAAAGAGAGGGUUGAUUUAUUCAUAAUUACACAGAGAUAUAGCUAGCUAGAAUUUGCAACAAUGUUUGAAGUUAUGAUUGGUGGGUGAUCUCUAAUGGCUGCCGGCAAUGCCCCAUCUGCUCAUGAAAGAGAAUAGAUUAUUGAGAUGAUGGAGAAGGAGAUGGAAUACAGGGUGGAUAUGUUUAACAAGCUUACACACAAGUGUUUCGGCAAGUUCAUCGAGAACAAGUACACAAGGAAGCUUGAGUUAAAUAUGGGAAAAACAACUGCAUUGACCUGGUGCUUCAAAAUAUUGGCAGGUGACUAACUUAGUUGGCCAGCUGCUAGGCAACAGUCGAAUGUAGAGAAGAUAAUUUUUAUUUUGUAACUGUUUGAGAUUGAUUGAUAGUUUGCAUGGAGGAAGAUAUUAGGUAUAGUUUUUACUUCUUUUUCUCUCAUUUUCUUUUCCACUUUGGUUUCUACAAUAUUACAUUUGGUUUGUAUAUGUUAAAAUUGAAGGGCAGAGCUGCUUUGAUUGAGAUGGGGGCUUACACAUGUGAGUUUCAGAGGAUUACGAGGGCUAUUCGGUGGAGAAUUCAGCUAAAGAAGAAGUUGAAUGUACCUGUCUUUUUUGCAUUUGCUGAAAAUAUCAUCAAUAACCUUCAAAUGGGCUUAUACUAUUUAAGACCAAC